This 253-nucleotide ribosomal RNA is filed under the name uncultured bacterium. RNAcentral's name for it is "partial 16S ribosomal RNA". It matches the Rfam family "Bacterial small subunit ribosomal RNA", at positions 524 to 776 of the family's 1533-position model. The record is from RNAcentral.
UACGGAGGAUGCAAGCGUUAUCCGGAAUGAUUGGGCGUAAAGCGUCCGCAGGUGGCUAUGUAAGUCUGCUGUUAAAGAGUGAGGCUCAACCUCAUAAGAGCAGUGGAAACUACAUGGCUAGAGUGCGUUCGGGGCAGAGGGAAUUCCUGGUGUAGCGGUGAAAUGCGUAGAGAUCAGGAAGAACACCGGUGGCGAAAGCGCUCUGCUAGGCCGCAACUGACGCUGAGGAGCGAAAGCGUGGGGAGCGAACAGG